This is a long non-coding RNA of Paramisgurnus dabryanus, 462 nucleotides long. RefSeq lists it as uncharacterized. The record is from RefSeq and is a predicted model, not a curated record. NCBI's taxonomy places the organism in Eukaryota, Metazoa, Chordata, Actinopteri, Cypriniformes, Cobitidae.
GUUUUUCUUUCACUGUCGCUGAAAAGUGACGCAAUCCAGGCGUAUAAAAGAGACCGCCUUCCCUCAUGACGAUCUCUUGAGUCGUUGCUAUCGCUUGACGAGAACAUCUUCUCAUCAUGAGAGCGAAGUGGCGAAAGAAGCGUAUGCGCAGGCUGAAGCGUAAAAGGAGAAAGAUGAGGCAGAGGUCUAAGUAAACUGGACCCCCCUGUCGCUGAAGCUGAGAUUGAUCUUCAACUCCAGUCUCCUUGGCAAGAGUCUGCUGGAAGCCCAAUUCAAGAUCCUUUCAUCCACCACCUGAGAGCCCAGCCAUCUUCUCAGCGGAGGCUUUGGUUUUUCCAUCACUUGGUUCUGCAGAAACAUCCUGGUCUUCAUGAUCCUGUGAACUGUUUUUGGACAUUCCCAGACUUAUCAGCGCAGCUUGUAUUUUGUUAAUCUCGUCAAUAAAUUUUUGGUUUAACAGAA